CAGGGAGGGCGGUGACGGGACGGACGCCUGGGGCCCGAGCACCGUCCCCGUCCCCCCCGAGGCGGCAGCAAUUUGGGGCGGGGUAGGGGCCGGUGAAGCCCCCGCGGACGGAAGGGAGAAGUUGGACCCCUGCAAGUCAGGCUAACCUUCCUGUCAGGGCUGGAUUUAUUUGCAAACCGCAGGAAGAAGAAAAUACAAGAGAGAGAGGGGUUUGGUGCAGCGCCGCGAUCACGGAUUUCAGAUGUGUUCUAAGCCUGCCGGGGU
Molecule: long non-coding RNA, 264 nt
Filed under: Aquila chrysaetos chrysaetos
Lineage: Eukaryota; Metazoa; Chordata; Aves; Accipitriformes; Accipitridae
Description: lncRNA (ENSACCG00020014285.1)
Source: RNAcentral